RNAcentral lists this small RNA (2214 nucleotides) under Pan troglodytes (chimpanzee). Its description in RNAcentral is "retained intron". Lineage: Eukaryota; Metazoa; Chordata; Mammalia; Primates; Hominidae. The record is from RNAcentral.
GCAGCGGCUUCUGGACCGCAUUCACAGCAUCACUGCCGAGAGGCUCAUCUUCAGCCACGCUGUGCAGAUGGUACGGGACAGACAGACACCAGUGGGGCAGGGCCAGGAACUUCCAGGCCGGCCGUCUCCACUGGGAGGGGACCUUGAUGCCCACAGCGUGGUGAGACUUUGGGGGGUGUCACUUCUGGAGGUCUUGAAAUGACAGCAUUAUGCACCCCCAGCCUCCUGCAGGCGCUCGCAGCUCGGCUGGGUGCAUCCUUGAUUGUACGGGUGCCGUGGCCCAUGUGCAUCCUGCCUCGCCCCGACUCAGUUUCCCCAAUUAUAAAAUGAGAGACUUGGUCUUCAGGCCUCGUAGUCAGGUGUCAGCCUCCAGAAGCAGCACCUGGUCCCGGACAACCUGCCUGGAAGUGUGGUGCACUCAGGUGGUACCGCGGGCAAAGACUCCCUGCUUGGGCUCUGAAGAGCUCCCUCUGCCUCUGAGGUGGUGCCCCCUUUUCGUUUAUUUUUUGUUGUUUUUUUUUUAAGACAGGGUCUUGCACUGUUGCCCAGGCUGAAGUGUAGUGUAGCCGCUAACUCCUGGGCUGAAGUGAUCCUCUUGCCUCAGCUUCCCAAGAUGCUGGGUAUUACAGGCAAAAACUCAUGAGUGCCUGAGUCUCCUUUUUUAAGAAAAUUUAAGCAUGUAGUAAAAAUCCAGUCUGAACAAACAUGGGAAAAGUCAGCCUCCCUCCUGCCCCCCUUCCUGCCCAGGCAGGCCAGGCAGCAGCAGUAAUGACACUGACUGAGCGGCGGGUACUCUGUUGUCCUGGGGCCGGGCUGAGAGCGCUGGCCAGGGUCAUCUGGUUCCAGGCAGUGUCUCCCCUUGGCCCUGUGACCAUCCCCUCUGCACAGCAGGCUGCACCAGCACUUAUGUCCCCACGUCACUGCCCUGAGCGCCUAUCUGCCACCCCUGGGCCGCUGCCGUGGGUGCAGGGCAGCCCUUGCUGGGAGGGAGUGGGGUGAGCUGCCCCUGUCCAGCCUCUGUCCUCGCCCCCAGGUGCAGUCGGCUGCCCUGGACGAGAUGUUCCAGCACCGUGAGGGCUGCGUCCCGCGCUACCACAAGGCCCUGCUGCUCCUGGAGGGGCUGCAGCACAUGCUCUCGGACCAGGCCGACAUCGAGAACGUCACCAAGUGUGAGUGCCAGGCUGGGCUGGGGGCUGGGGACUCUGGGCGUCUCCCUCACACUCCCCUCUCCCUCCACAGGCAAGCUGUGCAUUGAGCGGAGACUCUCGGCGCUGCUGACUGGCAUCUGUGCCUGACCUUUCUGGCCUGGCUGGGCCCCCCGUCCUGCCGAGCCCUGCAGAGUGGGCUCUGUGUGCUGGCUGGACUCCUCGGGACAAGCCCAUGGCGCUGAUCGCUGGUGCUGAGCCCUGCCCUGGGCCCCACGGACAGUCAGCCUGCCGGCCUCCCUGCAGCUCACGGGGCAGAACCAGCACAUCUGGAGCCACACAGCUUGGGGGUGUCUCCCAUCUUUUACAGGUGGGGAUCACAGAAUUUCUGCCCCUCCAGCUGCCUGGCUCAGCAGGCGUGGGUGCCACCACCCUCUAGCCCCAGGGCAGCCCCGGAGGACAGGCAAGGGCCUGAGACCACUGCCGACUCAAAGCCAAAGCGAGCUCCUGCUUAGGGCAGGUCAGCAGGCACUGUGCCCAGGAAGAGCCUGCGGCCUCGGCGUCCCCCAGUCUCCAGGAGCCUCUCCCUCCGAGAUACCCACCCAGCUUUGUCAAUCACCCAAGCACUUUAUGCAUAUAGAGACAGAACCUGGACCUCACCAGGGACUGCUGGGCAGCGAUUCCUGGCAGUGGCCUGGUGUUUGUACAUACACAUAUGCAGACACAUGCCAGGGCCCCCCAAGCCCGAGCACCGGACCACGUUGCUGCCCAGGUCUGGACCUCAGCGGGAGAACUGGCUCCGGGGGGAGUGGGGCCCUGCGCUAGAGGCAGAGGCAGUUCUUUGUUCAAGGGUUCCUCUGGGGACCGGCAGCAGAGGCACCGUGUUCUCUCAGCCCUGGAUACGUCUUGUAAUCUUUCACACUUUAUUCCUAAAAUGUGUCUUAUUUUUAUGCAGCUCAUUUUUUCUUUAAAGGAGAAAACUUGCAGGUGUUUAAGAAUUGGUUUUGGGAGGGCGAGGACUGGGCCAGGUUAGAGGCAGAUGGCACAGGGGCGUGUGGCGGGCGGGUGA